RNAcentral lists this ribosomal RNA (496 nucleotides) under uncultured bacterium. Its description in RNAcentral is "partial 16S ribosomal RNA". It matches the Rfam family "Bacterial small subunit ribosomal RNA", at positions 29 to 507 of the family's 1533-position model. The record is from RNAcentral.
AUGAACGCUGGCGGCGUGCCUAAUACAUGCAAGUCGAGCGAACAGACGAGGAGCUUGCUCCUCUGACGUUAGCGGCGGACGGGUGAGUAACACGUGGAUAACCUACCUAUAAGACUGGGAUAACUUCGGGAAACCGGAGCUAAUACCGGAUAAUAUAUUGAACCGCAUGGUUCAAUAGUGAAGGACGGUUUUGCUGUCACUUAUAGAUGGAUCCGCGCCGCAUUAGCUAGUUGGUAAGGUAACGGCUUACCAAGGCGACGAUGCGUAGUCGACCUGAGAGGGUGAUCGGCCACACUGGAACUGAGACACGGUCCAGACUCCUACGGGAGGCAGCAGUAGGGAAUCUUCCGCAAUGGGCGAAAGCCUGACGGAGCAACGCCGCGUGAGUGAUGAAGGUCUUCGGAUCGUAAAACUCUGUUAUUAGGGAAGAACAAAUGUGUAAGUAACUAUGCACGUCUUGACGGUACCUAAUCAGAAAGCCACGGCUAACUACGUG